UACGAAGGGACCUAGCGUAGUUCGGAAUUACUGGGCUUAAAGAGUUCGUAGGUGGUUGAAAAAGUUGGUGGUGAAAUCCCAGAGCUUAACUCUGGAACUGCCAUCAAAACUUUUCAGCUAGAGUAUGAUAGAGGAAAGCAGAAUUUCUAGUGUAGAGGUGAAAUUCGUAGAUAUUAGAAAGAAUACCAAUUGCGAAGGCAGCUUUCUGGAUCAUUACUGACACUGAGGAACGAAAGCAUGGGUAGCGAAGAGGAUUAGAUACCCUCGUAGUCCAUGCCGUAAACGAUGUGUGUUAGACGUUGGAAAUUUAUUUUCAGUGUCGCAGCGAAAGCAAUAAACACACCGCCUGGGGAGUACGACCGCAAGGUUAAAACUCAAAUGAAUUGACGGGGACCCGCACAAGUAGUGGAGCAUGUGGUUUAAUUCGAAGAUACGCGCAGAACCUUACCAACACUUGACAUGUUCGUCGCGACUCUAAGAGAUUAGAGUUUUCGGUUCGGCCGGACGAAACACAGGUGCUGCAUGGCUGUCGUCAGCUCGUGUCGUGAGAUGUUGGGUUAAGUCCCGCAACGAGCGCAACCCUCACUUUUAGUUGCCAUCAUUAAGUUGGGCACUCUGAAAGAACUGCCAGUGAUAAGCUGGAGGAAGGUGGGGAUGACGUCAAGUCCUCAUGGCCCUUACGUGUUGGGCUACACACGUGCUACAAUGGUAUCUACAACAGGAAGCAAGACGGCGACGUUAAGCAAAUCCUUAAAAGAUACCUCAGUUCGGAUUGCACUCUGCAACUCGAGUGCAUGAAGCUGGAAUUACUAGUAAUCGUGGAUCAGCGUGCCACGGUGAAUGCGUUCCCGGGUC
Molecule: ribosomal RNA, 855 nt
Filed under: uncultured bacterium
Lineage: Bacteria
Description: SSU rRNA
Rfam family: Bacterial small subunit ribosomal RNA
Source: RNAcentral